Molecule: ribosomal RNA, 132 nt
Filed under: Xenopolyscytalum pinea
Lineage: Eukaryota; Fungi; Ascomycota; Leotiomycetes; Helotiales; Hamatocanthoscyphaceae
Also listed under: 1 other name
Description: partial 18S ribosomal RNA
Rfam family: Eukaryotic small subunit ribosomal RNA
Source: RNAcentral
UGAGGCUUUCGGACUGGCCUAAGGAGAGUGGCAACACUCACCUAGGGCCGGAAAGUUGUUCAAACUUGGUCAUUUAGAGGAAGUAAAAGUCGUAACAAGGUCUCCGUAGGUGAACCUGCGGAGGGAUCAUUA